Molecule: ribosomal RNA, 424 nt
Filed under: Verrucomicrobiota bacterium
Lineage: Bacteria; Pseudomonadati; Verrucomicrobiota
Description: Verrucomicrobia bacterium partial 16S ribosomal RNA
Rfam family: Bacterial small subunit ribosomal RNA
Source: RNAcentral
UGAGGAAUAUUGGUCAAUGGGCGAGAGCCUGAACCAGCCAAGUAGCGUGCAGGAUGACGGCCCUAUGGGUUGUAAACUGCUUUUAUGUGGGGAUAAAGUGCGUGACGUGUCAUGCAUUGCAGGUACCACAUGAAUAAGGACCGGCUAAUUCCGUGCCAGCAGCCGCGGUAAUACGGAAGGUCCGGGCGUUAUCCGGAUUUAUUGGGUUUAAAGGGAGCGUAGGCUGUCUAUUAAGCGUGUUGUGAAAUAUACCGGCUCAACCGGUGGCUUGCAGCGCGAACUGGUCGACUUGAGUAUGCAGGAAGUAGGCGGAAUUCAUGGUGUAGCGGUGAAAUGCUUAGAUAUCAUGACGAACUCCGAUUGCGCAGGCAGCUUACUGUAGCAUAACUGACGCUGAUGCUCGAAAGUGCGCGUAUCAAACAGG